GGGUAUAAGGGAAAGGUGAGUCAUCGAAUCUUUGAACGCACAUUGCGCCCGCUAGUACUCUAGCGGGCAUGCCUGUUCGAGCGUCAUUUCAACCCUCAAGCCCUGCUUGGUGUUGGGGCCCUACGGCUGCCGUAGGCCCUGAAAGGAAGUGGCGGGCUCGCUACAACUCCGAGCGUAGUAAUUAUUAUCUCGCUAGGGAAGUGUGGCGGGCUCCUGCCGUUAAAGACCCCAUCUUUAACAAGGUUGACCUCGGAUCAGGUAGGAAUACCCGCUGAACUUAAGCAUAUCAAUAAGCGGAGG
RNAcentral lists this unclassified non-coding RNA (300 nucleotides) under uncultured Coniochaeta. RNAcentral describes it as "sequence contains 5.8S rRNA gene, ITS2". The stretch from base 1 to 86 matches the Rfam family "5.8S ribosomal RNA", at positions 67 to 154 of the family's 154-position model. Lineage: Eukaryota; Fungi; Ascomycota; Sordariomycetes; Coniochaetales. The record is from RNAcentral.